This is a non-coding RNA of Cyanistes caeruleus (blue tit), 803 nucleotides long. NCBI's taxonomy places the organism in Eukaryota, Metazoa, Chordata, Aves, Passeriformes, Paridae. The record is from RefSeq and is a predicted model, not a curated record.
AUUCCCUCAAGGAUCUGGAUAUAGGAAUGCCCAGGGAUGGGGCGUCAGGGAUCCCUGUUCACACAGGAUGGGAGUAUUCCUCCAAAUACCAGGAAUUCCACCACCUUUCCCUUUUUUCUGUCCCACAUGUGAUACAUCCUAAUUCUUCCCAACUGAUUCUCUUUUCCAGACUCGAUUCCUUUAAUCUUCAGAUUCUUCUUUAUUUUGCUUUUUUUUCUCCAAAAUCAGAUUUUUUCUCCCUCAGCCCCCCCUUUUUUUUUUCACCAGAAAAGGCUCAGAACCCUCAUUAGUGCAUCCACAGGCUCUGUGUUGGUGCUUAAAAUCUGUCCCAGUACAGGAAAAUUCCUGCCUUUUCCCCCUCAGGUUUCCCGCCCUUUUUCCCCCCCUCACGUUUCCCGCCCUUUUUCCCCCUCAGUGCUCCCAGUGUCCCCUGCCUGGCACUCAGUAACCCUCAGUGCCACCCAGUUUCUUCCAAUGAUUCCCCAGGAGCAUCUCCCACCUCCUUCCCAGCCCUUUUUUCCACCACAAGGACAUUCCCAACAACACAACUCAACCUGGCCACGGGACCAUCUCCGCUUCCAAAAACAAUUCCCAAUCCUGUGCUGACCACGACCAGGUGGGCGCUGAAGGCGGCGCAGGAGUUCUGGGCCCUGCCCCAGCUCUGGGGAAUCUCCGAGAAGAGGUGGAAUUAAACCCCAAAGUUCCGAAUCUGAGGCAAAACUAAAUCCUGAAAUUUAUGGGAUGAAGUUUUCCGGGAAUGCGGGGCCGUUCUGGGGCCAAACCCCGAUUUUUUGGGAUCCACC